UCCAAAUUUGUACCUUUAGGUACUUUUUUUGGGUCUGUCCGUGAUCUGUGGUAUAUUACCCGCCCUAAAUUAUUUGUUCGGAUAUUGUUUUUGAAUAUUUUUCAUGUAUCAAAACUCGUUAAAACUAGUUGGGGUAUCCAUAUAUAGCGGCGGAACUCACGGCGAAUGGAUCCAAAAGUCUUCAAAAAAGGAUAAAUAUGAUUUUAUUGCAUGAACUAACGGAUGUGAUCAUAGCAGCACUAAUGCACUAGAUCCCAUCAGAACUGCGCAGCUAAGCGUGCUUGGGCAAGAGUAGUACUAGGAUGGGUGUCCUCCCAAGAACGCCUCGUGUUGCAUCCCUCUUUUUUUUUUAACCUUUUUUUUUUUGGUUAAAACUUUAUGACUCCAUAACUUAUAGACUG
Molecule: ribosomal RNA, 401 nt
Filed under: Arabidopsis thaliana (thale cress)
Lineage: Eukaryota; Viridiplantae; Streptophyta; Magnoliopsida; Brassicales; Brassicaceae
Source: RNAcentral